RNAcentral lists this small RNA (224 nucleotides) under Arabidopsis thaliana (thale cress). Its description in RNAcentral is "ATSL217950". The record is from RNAcentral. Lineage: Eukaryota; Viridiplantae; Streptophyta; Magnoliopsida; Brassicales; Brassicaceae.
UCUAAUCAUAUUAAAAUAAACGGUUGUAAAUGCUCUAUUUUUAUAACCGUCAUGUUUCUUUUAUUCACCACCACUUAUUUUAUCCGUCCGUUACAACUAAUUAUUUCAUCCGUCCAUCAGACUCUUAACCAACGAGGUAGCCUUAAUAUAUGUAACUAAUCAACUUUUAAAGAUGAUUGCUUCCAACAAAUUGCUUAAGGAUUUGACUUGUGACCUUGUUUAAU